GCUUACCGGAUCUUCAUCCCCAGAAUGUCAGAGUUGAAAGAGACUUGGAGAGGCCACUUUCCACAAUCCCCACGCCCAACCUCAGCCCCCAGGCCUCCUGGCUCCUGUACACACUCUCUGCUGUCCUUGAGAUGUCAUUUCACUUCAUGUUUCAGUUUACUCAUCUUUGCAGAGUGGGCAGGAUCUUACGACCCGAUAGGUGCAGAACCCAUCUGGACACGGAGACCAGGAAUGGGGUUCCAUGGAGGCCUGGCUGGCACUGCACCUGGGCAUGAGGACACAUCCAGUAAGAAGACCUGCCUCAAGAGGUGCACUGCGGUGACCAGUGGAGGUGACUGGUUGGAGCCUGGAAUUGGAAGCAGAUUCCAAGCUCUGGUGGACAAACUCUCCAGGCCUGGUGGGAAUCACAGCUGGGGCAGACCUCAUCCUGGCUGCCUGGCCACAGGCCCCCACUCUCUGCCACUGGUGGUAGGACGAUGCCUGUGUGGAGAGCUGGCUUCUCUGCUCCCGCCUGGUCCACCACUUGGCUAGAGUUCAGAGACAGGAAGUGAUUGGUCUAAGCUAACACAGCAAGUUGGUGGCAGACCUGGUUCUAGAGGCAAAACCUUCUUCCAGAUGUGAAUGAAACCUGCAGGCUUCAUUUUCCUUUCUGAGCAGUGCUUCUUAGCUCUUUGGAGACACGAAGCCCUUGGAAAAUCUGAUGAAGGUUACGGACCUUCCCUAGGAAAACAGAUAACUGACGUAGACUCAAAAACCCCAAGCAAUUUCAGGAGCCACUGGACUCCCUGAAUGAAACCCAUCCCUGGACUCCAGGCUAAGAACCUCAGCCCUGGGGACUUCACCUGCUGCCCUUUCCUUACCUGUCACACAUUGAGCCCCGAGUCAAGGCCACUGUACAAGUAGUGCCCCUCCCUCCCCCUGGCCAAGCCUCCUUCCCUUGUUCAGGAAUAAAGAAUUCCGAGGAGCCCUUUCUGGUCAUUCCCUUCUCCCAGACCUAACGAAUGGUGCGUCAGGUUUCUGGAGCCUCAUUUCCCUUCCCCAGACAUUGGCAGAGGUCCCUUGGGCUAGAUUUUCUCUUCUGGUUUUGUUUCUUGUUCUGCCUGACUGGCCGCUGGCUUCCACAAAGGAGCCCUUUGCUCCUGGCCUGGGCUCUGAUUUCACUGUGUGGUCUCAGGGGAAGCUGGACUGCUGUGGACGCUGGUGGGAGCUUGAGUCUGGUCUGAGUCUGCCCCAGGGAGAAAGAAUCCUGCUUCCACCAACCAAGCCCAGUCAGCGGUUCCUCCCAACUGGCCAAGUGUUCAGCCCAGUGGGCUGGGGAGGAAGAGGAUGAGGGCCUUGCUCCUGGUGCCUGUGGCUCUGGGCAGGGUGAGAGGUCGGUGGAGGAUCUUUCUGUGUGUUCUCUGAGUAUGCAGCAGUGCAGUUGAAGGGAACAGGGCCCAGGCAGGCAGCAGGGCGAGGACUCCUCCCGUCUUCACACCUGAACCAGUCAGCCUGGAAGCUACAAGUUCUCACCUGCUUCCCCAGAAUGAACAUCAGAAAAGGCAAAACUGACCAGGGCUGGGAUGGGUUUGGGUCAGCUUGGUUGGAGGGCAGCCUGUGGAUCCCUGCACUGGAGUCUUGCUGUCUUCGAUGCAGGUUGGAUCAUACAUUGUUACCUCCUACUGUAUGCCUCACCCUGGAAUAGCAGAAUGCUCAGGGGGAGAUCCGAGAACGAGAAGGUGCUCCCAGCCCCAGGAGCUUCCAGUCUGGCUCUGAUCCUUGGCCGACCUAGAGGAAACCUCCACACAUGCCCCUUUUGUGCUAAUGGUGCAGUUUGUGUCCCCCUCUGCCCAUCACUGUGCUGUGCUUGUUCCUGCCUCUGUGCCUUCCCCUAUACUGCUCGGACAUGUCCCCUUUCCUCUCCUCUACCCAGCUAAGCCCUUCUGAUCCAUGGGGCCUGGCUUCCCAAACCACCCAGCCCACAUUCCUCCUUCCUGCUCUGAACAGGCCCUGUGUGAGCCCCUGCCCCCGAACUGCGUGCUGUCCCAUGGACGCUCCAGUCUCUUCUGUGUGUGUCUUGAGUCCCUAACUAGACAGUUAGCUCCCUGAGGGCAAGGGACUGUCAUUUCCUCUUGAGUCCUACCAGGGUCUAGCACAGGACUGGGCUCCUAACUCUCAGGAAACACUUGUCGGCUGACUGGUGCCUCAAGCGCUGGAGCUUGUCGGUGGCCGGUAAUGGGCAGUGCACGUGGGGAGAGGGUAUGUGAGUUAACUCAAGGGUGCCUUUUCUUGGGCUGUGGGCUGGCUCCCCUGGGUCAAAAGUGGAUGUCGGAGGCCUCAGGCUCUUACCUCCUUGGGGCAGUGGGAGCAUCAGGGACCCCCACCCCCACCCCGGCUCUGCAGGAGUGCACGGAAGUGGUCGUCCAGCCUGGAUAUUUCUACAGGUUGCUGACACCUGCGGGAGCUGACUGAGUGG
RNAcentral lists this long non-coding RNA (2455 nucleotides) under Pan troglodytes (chimpanzee). Its description in RNAcentral is "long non-coding RNA NONPTRT015949". Lineage: Eukaryota; Metazoa; Chordata; Mammalia; Primates; Hominidae. The record is from RNAcentral.